This is a long non-coding RNA of Acanthochromis polyacanthus (spiny chromis), 1385 nucleotides long. RefSeq lists it as uncharacterized. Lineage: Eukaryota; Metazoa; Chordata; Actinopteri; Pomacentridae. The transcript has 6 exons. The record is from RefSeq and is a predicted model, not a curated record.
AGUACCCCUGACUGCAGCCCGCAGAUCGGGGCGUGCCUCAACGUGGGCGGAGUUAAACGUUGAGCUCCGCCCACCUUAAACUAAACGUGGGCGGAGUUAAACGUUUAACUCCGCCCGCAUAGCGCAGUUGAACCGUUGAAGAAGAAGAAGAAUGUAUUAGAGAAGAAGAAGAAGUUUCCAAAAUGGAGAGAAUAGAGCACGUGUUUGCUGCAAACAGCCACGUCAUUGCCACAUGGUUUCCACCAUCAUCCACAAACCCCAUGGAUCACCUGCUGGACAAUGCAGCCAGUCUCCAGUGGGUUCUGCUUCCAGUAUUUGUACCUGGACACUGGAUACUCUGUAAAUACAUUUAUAUCUUCCUCUAUUAUGACCUCACACAACAAAGCUGCUCAUUGCUGAUUUAAAUUUUUUGGUAUAUUAAAUGCAGCUUUGUUAGUAUUUCUGUAACAUUCCAUAACUUUAUGUGUGUGGUUAUAUUUGAACACAUUUAACAGAUACUGAGGCCACAGGCUAGGGAGAUUUUCUUUCUAGAUCCCCUCUGUGGCAGCAGCUGGAGAGAUGAGAGUAGAGUCCAUCUAGUCAGGUUUUUAGGACACCUUCCAAGAUCCUUCCUGGACAGUGUUAGUUCUGUUUUAAACCACUUGUCCUUUGUUUAAUAAAUGCUUCUGUUUUUAUUUGAAUGCAUUAAGAUGUUCCAAACAAACAAAAACAAACAACAAAAGUGAGUGUUUGCGAGGGAUAGAAGUAAUUGUUACCUUAUUCUUAUUUAUUUUUACAUUAUUCUAUGCAGAUGGAAACAGAACCAUAUGUUUUGUUUGUUUAAGCCCAUUACAAAAACGUUUGAUUUGAAGUUCCAGCCUCUUCCAACUUUGUUCCAAGUGUUGCUUUAAAAUGCUUUAUUGUACUUUUAUUUCCUCUUUGAGCACAUUGCUCACAUCUCCUGGCCCUUGGAGGCAGCUUGGUGUGAAUGAUGUUCAGGAAAACAUGCUGCAGAUUAGAAGAUGGUGGUGUCUUGUUCUGCUGCCAUCUGAAGAAGAGAGAUUGCAGCAAAGAAAAAGGCAACGAGAGCAGAAAAACUACAGGAGAAUCCUUUGGUCAGGGAUGCCAUGGCGGCAGCCCGGUGGUGUGGGACCAGAACUUUCAAGGGAAAAUUUCCCUUCCCCAAGUUGUUACCAUGGCCAAGGAGCAACGCGUGAGGGCAGGGAACUCCUGUGUGUCUGUGAUGGCCAGGAAGAAGAGGAGACCGCUGAUCUCAGAGAACCGUUCCUUUUUCUUUUUAGUCUGCAGGAAGACUAUGAGACAUUCUGUCAAGAAAUCAUUGACAGGAGAAACAUGAAGGUGUUUUGUGCUUUUGACAGAAAAGAAUAAAGUUGUGUUCAACGGUG